AGAGUUUGAUCCUGGCUCAGAUUGAACGUUGGCGGCACGCCUAAUACAUGCAAGUCGAACGAGAAAGCACCUUCGGGUGCGAGUACAGUGGCGGACGGGUGAGUAACGCGUAGGAAUAUACCUAGUAGUGGGGGACAACUCGGGGAAACUCGAGCUAAUACCGCAUACGCUCUACGGAGGAAAGUGGGGGAUCUUCGGACCUCACGCUAUUAGAGUAGCCUGCGUUGGAUUAGCUAGUUGGUGAGGUAAAGGCUCACCAAGGCGACGAUCCAUAGCUGGUCUGAGAGGACGAUCAGCCACACUGGAACUGAGACACGGUCCAGACUCCUACGGGAGGCAGUAGUAGGGAAUCUUGGUCAAUGGGCGAAAGCCUGAACCAGCGAUGCCGCGUGUGUGAAGAAGGCCCUAGGGUUGUAAAGCACUUUCAGCAGUGAAGAAACCCCGGUGGUUAAUACCUACCGGUCUUGACGUUAACUGCAGAAGAAGCACCGGCUAACUCCGUGCCAGCAGCCGCGGUAAUACGGAGGGUGCGAACGUUAAUCGGAAUUACUGGGCGUAAAGCGCGCGUAGGCGGUUUGAUAAGUGGGAUGUGAAAGCCCCGGGCUCAACCUGGGAACUGCAUUCCAAACUGUCAGGCUAGAGUAUGGUAGAGGGAGGUAGAAUUUCCUGUGUAGCGGUGAAAUGCGUAGAUAUAGGAAGGAAUACCGGUGGCGAAGGCGGCCUCCUGGACCAAUACUGACGCUGAGGUGCGAAAGCGUGGGGAGCAAACAGGAUUAGAUACCCUGGUAGUCCACGCCGUAAACGAUGAGAACUAGCCGUUGGGCCCCUUGAGGGUUUAGUGGCGCAGCUAACGCGAUAAGUUCUCCGCCUGGGGAGUACGGCCGCAAGGUUAAAACUCAAAUGAAUUGACGGGGGCCCGCACAAGCGGU
RNAcentral lists this ribosomal RNA (929 nucleotides) under uncultured bacterium. RNAcentral describes it as "bacterial SSU rRNA". It matches the Rfam family "Bacterial small subunit ribosomal RNA", at positions 8 to 933 of the family's 1533-position model. The record is from RNAcentral.